AGAUUCCUGCCUUGUACGUGGGAGAUAGACAACUUAAUCCGUCAUUAAGACACGAUAGGGAGCUGACGUAAAGUAAUUGUGAGCGUUCCGAGAAGGGGAAAGGGCUUUAUCUUACUUUCAAGGCACCCACUUAGAAACGUAGGGAUUUAAGAAAACUAUUUCCACGGCAAGGUGGGUCUUUA
RNAcentral lists this non-coding RNA (182 nucleotides) under Nitrospiraceae bacterium. RNAcentral's name for it is "6S RNA". It matches the Rfam family "6S / SsrS RNA". From Rfam's summary of the family: E. coli 6S RNA was the first non coding RNA to be sequenced, but its function was unknown until recently. It consists of 184 nucleotides that fold into an extended hairpin structure with a large single-stranded internal bulge. The record is from RNAcentral. Lineage: Bacteria; Pseudomonadati; Nitrospirota; Nitrospiria; Nitrospirales; Nitrospiraceae.